Molecule: ribosomal RNA, 253 nt
Filed under: uncultured bacterium
Lineage: Bacteria
Description: partial 16S ribosomal RNA
Rfam family: Bacterial small subunit ribosomal RNA
Source: RNAcentral
UACAGAGAGUGCAAGCGUUAAUCGGAAUUACUGGGCGUAAAGCGCGCGUAGGUGGAUAUUUAAGUCGGAUGUGAAAGCCCUGGGCUUAACCUAGGAAUUGCAUUCGAUACUGAACAUCUAGAGUAUGGUAGAGGGAAGUGGAAUUUCCGGUGUAGCGGUGAAAUGCGUAGAUAUCGGAAAGAACACCAGUGGCGAAGGCGGCUUCCUGGACCAAUACUGACACUGAAGUGCGAAAGCGUGGGGAGCAAACAGG